Molecule: long non-coding RNA, 286 nt
Organism: Saccostrea echinata
Lineage: Eukaryota; Metazoa; Mollusca; Bivalvia; Ostreida; Ostreidae
Exons: 3
Source: RefSeq, a predicted model, not a curated record
CAUUCAAGAACAAACGGUUUCAAACUUUACAAGCUCAAGUACAGGGGAACAUAUUCCAGGAUUUGCCAUGCACAUACCAAUUGUGAUAAUCCUAGUGGAGGGUGAUGUAGAUGACAUCAAACAUGUUGCUAAAGCUGUUCACAGAAAGGUUCCUGUAAUUGUCAUCAAGGGUUCUGGAAAAGCUGCGGAUAUUAUUCUGGACUAUCUCAAAAGUGAGAGCAACCUUCGUAGCCAGGCAGCACUUUUAUUUGGACUUAAGUUUGAAGACAAACAUUUCAAAGAAUUA